This 284-nucleotide long non-coding RNA is filed under the name Capsella rubella. RNAcentral describes it as "long non-coding RNA (CRUB_LNC002919)". The record is from RNAcentral. Lineage: Eukaryota; Viridiplantae; Streptophyta; Magnoliopsida; Brassicales; Brassicaceae.
UCUUACCUUACCGUCGGUUUGAAGCUGAGCAGGUGAGAGUGCCCAUGUGCAUUUUGUGGGGAAGCUUUUGGGGUACUUUUGUUAUUGUUGUUGUUGUGUUCUCUAAGGUAAUUGUGUUGGGGAACCUAUGUGGUUAAUUUUUGCAGGGCAACUUCUCUACCCUAAUGGCUGGAAACUACAAACUUGUUUGGGAUAAUUCAUAUUCAACUUUCUUCAAAAAGGUAGGGUGAUAAAAACAUCUUGCGGCUGACAAAAGUGAAUUUAGUAUCCUUUGUCAUCCCAUU